GGGUUGUGAGGUUAAGCGACUAAGCGUACACGGUGGAUGCCCUGGCAGUCAGAGGCGAUGAAGGACGUGCUAAUCUGCGAUAAGCGUCGGUAAGGUGAUAUGAACCGUUAUAACCGGCGAUUUCCGAAUGGGGAAACCCAGUGUGAUUCGUCACACUAUCAUUAACUGAAUCCAUAGGUUAAUGAGGCGAACCGGGGGAACUGAAACAUCUAAGUACCCCGAGGAAAAGAAAUCAACCGAGAUUCCCCCAGUAGCGGCGAGCGAACGGGGAGGAGCCCAGAGCCUGAAUCAGUGUGUGUGUUAGUGGAAGCGUCUGGAAAGGCGCGCGAUACAGGGUGACAGCCCCGUACACAAAAAUGCACAUG
This 365-nucleotide ribosomal RNA is filed under the name Escherichia coli. Its description in RNAcentral is "partial 23S ribosomal RNA". It matches the Rfam family "Bacterial large subunit ribosomal RNA", at positions 1 to 393 of the family's 2925-position model. Lineage: Bacteria; Pseudomonadati; Pseudomonadota; Gammaproteobacteria; Enterobacterales; Enterobacteriaceae. The record is from RNAcentral.